This 478-nucleotide ribosomal RNA is filed under the name uncultured bacterium. RNAcentral describes it as "partial 16S ribosomal RNA". It matches the Rfam family "Bacterial small subunit ribosomal RNA", at positions 28 to 523 of the family's 1533-position model. The record is from RNAcentral.
GACGAACGCUGGCGGCGUGCUUAACACAUGCAAGUCGAACGGUAAGGCCCUUCGGGGUACACGAGUGGCGAACGGGUGAGUAACGCGUGGGUGAUCUGCCCUGCACUUCGGGAUAAGCCUGGGAAACUGGGUCUAAUACCGGAUAGGACCCUGGGAUGCAUGUCCUGGGGUGGAAAGCUUUUGCGGUGUGGGAUGGGCCCGCGGCCUAUCAGCUUGUUGGUGGGGUGAUGGCCUACCAGGGCGACGACGGGUAGCCGGCCUGAGAGGGUGACCGGCCACACUGGGACUGAGAUACGGCCCAGACUCCUACGGGAGGCAGCAGUGGGGAAUAUUGCACAAUGGGCGCAAGCCUGAUGCAGCGACGCCGCGUGAGGGAUGACGGCCUUCGGGUUGUAAACCUCUUUCAGCACCGACGAAGCGCAAGUGACGGUAGGUGCAGAAGAAGGACCGGCCAACUACGUGCCAGCCGCCGCGGUAA